Odocoileus virginianus texanus is the source of this 692-nucleotide long non-coding RNA. RefSeq lists it as uncharacterized. Lineage: Eukaryota; Metazoa; Chordata; Mammalia; Artiodactyla; Cervidae. The record is from RefSeq and is a predicted model, not a curated record.
GGGGAUAGUGUACAGAUUCUUGAAUCUCAUUUCAAGACCAAGGAAGUAUGGUUUCACUGGAGAAGAAGUACGUCAACACUUACCUGAGAGCAGAAAGCACGUUGUGUAUGCCAACCGUCUAGAUUCAGGGAUGUGGUGUGGAAAAAGAGCAUAAAUAAAACUCAUUCAGCCUGCUUACAUUUGUACGUGACUGGGGGCUUGGAUCCACCAAGAUGUGUUUUCAGUCUGGAAUCUGCUAGCCCUGGGCUGAGGGAUUUGAUCCUGGAAGCAGUGAGAAGUGUGGGUGGCGUGGUCACAGGGACCGGGAACUAGGACGUGGUUGUGUUUGGAAGGGACCAUUAUGCUACCUACCACAAAUACCAUCAAACAAACAGAGGCUUCGGGAAGAAAGCAGGAGGAGACUACAGAAGUCCCCUACAUAUGAACCUUUGAGUUGUGAACUUUCAAAGAUUUACGCAUUCAAGGAGCCAGAACCUGAGCCGUCAGCGUCAGGCAUGAGUGAAACUUCAGCCUGCCCUCCAAUUCCUCUUGCUGACAACCCUUCAGCCCUACCAUCUCCCACCUCCUCUCCUCCUCCAGUGAGUAACUCUUGCCUCUUCACUCGAUGCCAGCCCCUGGAUGCCAGUUGUUGUACUGUACUCCUAUACUUUUCAAGGUACUGUACAAUAAGAUUAAAAAUGUUUUCUUUGCUU